Myodes glareolus (Bank vole) is the source of this 6706-nucleotide non-coding RNA. The record is from RefSeq and is a predicted model, not a curated record. Lineage: Eukaryota; Metazoa; Chordata; Mammalia; Rodentia; Cricetidae.
UUGUGUGCUUAUGGAAAAUGUGUCAAAUUGUAGGGUGUGCGUGCUGUUUCGAAAUUCUACGGAGUCCUUUAUAUUUUUGCCGGCGCACUUUUCCACGUGCUUUUGGCGGGGAUUUCCAAAGCGAAAUUUCUCUUUGGUCACUCACUUGAUGUGAUAGACUUGAUGGAUCGAUGGGAGCCGCUUCCCGACGCAGGGGUUUUCCUUAUCUCGGUUCUCUUUCUCCUCUGCUCCGAGCUCGGAGAGUGCCUGUAACAUUGUUUUCCACCUGCCCUGUCGGUUGCAAACUGUUACAGCAUAAACACCGGGCAGAGGUGAAGGUUCUGGUGGUCUCUCAGAAUCCGGUCUCAGGAGAUGAUAAUUUGAAAAAAAUCCGGUGACAUUGGAGUGGGACAAUGAUUUAAGAUGCGGCGAGGAGAAAACGGUGCGUUUUAGAGCCAUCCCACGCUAGUGCGGCGGCGUGGAGCUCCAGGAGGCGUCUCUGCAGCCGCCUUGGACUUGAGCGCUCAGAUCGAGGGAGCGUAGCUGCAGGAAAGGCGUGGGUUUUCACUUCCAGCACCGGGAGCAAGCCGGGCUUCUAGAGGGUCGCCGCCGGCUGGGGUCGGAGCCGUACAGUUAGCGCCUGAUUGCUGCAGUUGAAAUUCAGACAACAACCCCGAAGUCGCCGCCUCCUUCGGGGACUGCUGGGGUCUCUGGUGGGCGUGAAUCAGACUGUAAGUGGCCGGUCACCGCAGUUCGAUGCGUCCUAGGAUCGCCGCCCUUUCUCUUCUGCACCGUCCUUUCCUUUCAGAUCGUGUCUUACGACCCUUAAAGUGCUUAAAAUAUGCUGGUGUCCCGCAGGAAACGCCGCUUUCUGCCACGCAGGCCGAACGGAUUGUGAAUGGGUAGGUGGCAAAGUGUCGCACGGGGAAAGCCCUGACAGUGGUCGGUUGGGUUCAAUCAGUGUCUACCCAGAGCCUCCCCGGGGGACCGAGGACUUCCGGACCGUGGAACUCCGGGCUUCAGCAGCUGCUGGGCUCCGGCAGAGAGCGCGCCGCAGCAAUCUGCCUGCACGCGGAUUGGAGAAAAGCGGGAUGGAGACGCUAAACGAAUGCCAUGUCACACGCCACGCUUUCAGGGUGCAGUUGACGGCUGCAGACAUUCAAGCCCUUAAAAGGAGCAUUUAAACUUGGGAGGAGUACGGAUGGAACUCAGAGGCACACCAGUUAGUGUGCACAACGUGCGCGGGAACUUUGCGGGCAGAGCUCACAGGAACUGUGAGGUGGCCCGACGCCCAUCGCUCCUGACAUCUCCAGACUGGCUAUGCCGGGCACCCAGAGUCAUUUUUCCGACGGAUGUAAACGCAUCUUGGCGCUCCCAGAGUCCCUACUUGCGCGUCGCCUGCGCAAACUCUCUGCGGUGUGGCCUUGUAUCUUUAGGUAGGGGGGACAUCUUUUGUCUCUCGGCAAGAAGCUUUCCUCCAGGGAAGAUAAAGUAAUCGAUAGGGUCUUUUAAAUAGCUCCGAGUUUCCUGUCGGGCCAGGAGUAUCAGCGCGCACACCAAAUCUGCUCUGGCUUCACCUCCUAGAAGACAGAAGAAGGAGUGUCAGUAGAAGCAAUUUCCAGAAAGCAAAGCAAAUAGAGAAAGAGGAAGGCUCCUGGAAUCAGGCUUGAAGAAGGAAAGAGGUCUCGGAAGACAUUCAAGGGAAAGACCUCUGGAAAUGACAGGCAGAAAUGAUUUGCGGGGACUAUGGCUGCUUGUUCUUCCCGAACAUUGAUGUUCUCAUCUGUAAAAUGAGACGAUAGCCUCACUUUCUCAAAGGAGUAGUAACACAGGAGCAGAGUUGUCCCUGUGUAUUCUCGCCAGUGACGGUGAGAAAAGCACGGAGGCUCGCUGCAGGAUAGCAGACCCCAGGUGAUCUGUCUUGCUACUUGGACAUUUGUCUUCAUUUGACCUCAGUGUGUGCUUCUCUUUCCCUUCUCCAGAGCUCCAAACAGCAGGGCACCACAGGAAAGUCGUCAGAGGCCCCUUUGCACCUUUGUGCCGAUCUUUCAUUUUUAUGAUUAAUUUCAUUUUGAAUUAUGUGUGCACAUGCGUGUAGGGGGCACAGGAGCACACAGAAGAGGGUGUUGGAUUCCCUGCAGCUGGAGUUACAGGUGGUUGUGGGCUGCUUGGAUGUAGGUGCUCUAAACCACUGAGCCAUCUCCCCACACUCUUCUUUAGAAUUCCGGAGUGGUGCCUGUGAGGGUCUGUGAGGGCUUUGGGCUGAAUAGAGCCAGAGGAGCAGAUGAGGGAUCAGGAGCCAGCCAUUUUGUCUCGACAACACAGCUGAGUCCUUGGCAUCAGAGGGUGGAUACCUCUGCUCAGUUGACACAGUUCUGGGUAUGUUUCCGGGACUCAGGAAAUGCUGCUGACUGACGCCAGGAGCUCAACAGACUCAACAGCAGGGCCUGUUCCUGCAGGUCACACAGCAAGGGAACCCUGGGGCCUGAACCAGCUUGGGCCCCAAUCCCCUUUCCCCCAGCCCCAGUCUCUUGGAUAGCCAGGCUGUGAAAGUGUGUGUGUGUGUGUUUCUGAUUUAGGCUUCCAUCCGUGCAUCUUCCUACACUGCUCCUGUCUUUCCUAGGGCCUCAGAGAAGAGACAAGGGAGACUGUGCUAUUGUACCCAGGGCUCGGACUGCAUAAGAGGAAGAUGUAACUUGGCAGUAUUCUAGCGACUGAGCUGCCUCUUGCUUUUUCUGCUUCAGCAUUCCCGGUCUGGGUCCUCAUAGCAUCUCCUCCUGAUUCCCUGUUUCAGACGGAGAGCCGGGUGUGCCUGGGUCGGGCCUGGUUGUGUUUGGAAGGAAGAAGGAAAGGAUGCAUUUGGAGAUCUCUGCAUAAUCCCGAAUGGAUUAUGGAUUAUAUGACAAGGUUUCUCUGUGUAGCCCAGGCUGUCCUGACACUUGAUCUGUAGACCAGGCUGGUCCAUUUGUCUCUGCUGGGAUUAAAGAAGUGCACCACUACUUCCCAGGCAUGCUCCCACCUGUCACCACGUGAGUCCAGUCGCUGACGUGUAAUUUUGUCACCUUUUCUGAUGGGCUAACCCCAAACAGACUGGACACUAGCUCCUCUUUGAUGCUUGCCACAAACAAUGCCACAGCAUCCCAGGCAGGAGAGUCUUUACACUUCUAGAGGUCGUCAAAGGCGAUUCCAGAAAGCAACGGGCUCCCCGAUGAAAAGGCCAUGGUCCUUGUCUUAGGGAAUCUGCCGGGCCCGGCUCUGACAGUUCUCAGCUGCUCCAUAAAUCUUCCAUCAGUUUCAUCCGGCCAAAGAGAUGUCAUCACCGUUUUCUCCCAGCGACAAGGAAGAAAAGGUCAGUGAGUCCUCCAGUCCCGCCCAAGACAAAGGAGACAAGCAGGAACGUUUCCAAUAGGAGGCGCAGGGCCGUUUGUGCAGAAACCAUUGGUGCUUAGAUGCUGGGGUACACGUGAGGAUGAUGCCUGCGCUGGGCACGAGUGCUUGGGACUCCCCCACAUUUAACAGACAGAACCUCAGAAGCCUGAAGUUAGAAAAAAUAGCCAUCAUCCCAUCCCCUUGGACUCAAUAAUUCACUUAUUGUCUUAAGGCAAUAGAGUCUGUAUUGUAAAUAGUAAAUUUUUAUGCAGCAUCUCAAUACAUUAACCCAGAAAUACCAAGGAUGGGAGAGGCUCAGGACUCCUCCGAACUCCUGCCAACCUGUCUUUAAACUCUCUGCCCAGUGUGUCUCUGCCAGGGCAUCCCUGACACUGGCUGCUGCUCACAUCCCCCCUCCCGCCCUCAGGAAUCAUCCGCAUAUGAUAAAAACCUGUGGCCAAUCCAUACCUCAUCUGGAGAUAGGGAAGAUUUAAUGUUGCUGAGACACGUUGAUUGGUUGUGUGGUUUGUUAGAAGUCAAAUUCAUCUUGUUUGCACAGAACAUACACACGGAGGGGCCGGCACCCCUUCUGUCUUGGAGCUUGGGAGCCAGUUGUUUUCCAGUCUGAUGCAUCCAUGAUACUCAGGGGCAGCCUGGGGCUUUCAUGCUCCCUCAUGGAGCACCAACUGGGAGAGGGUGGCUUCACUGUGCAGGGGGCCCAGGGUGGAAGCUGUUUCAGUAAUCUGUAUAAACGACAACGAUGACAACAUCCACGAUAAAGCCUAAACACACAAAGGAACCAUCGAGGCACGGGACUCCGGCAGCUGGGGGAAUACGUGCCUAUCUGCCUCGUUCAUACUAUAAACGCAGAAGGGCAAGGCAGUCUAGAAGACAGGGCAAUUGCCCACAGUGGUUCGGGUAGAUCAUACUUCCGAAUUGUGGUAUAAAUCUAAGUUCUGGGAUGAGGAUCAAAAUGACCCGAUCGGGCUCUGCUGGUGCAGCCGGCGCAUUGCAUGCCGGAGCUCAGCAUCCACAGAGUCAACCAGGUUGGAAAUAUUUGGAAAAACUCUUGUCUGUACUAAACUUGUACAGGUUUUUUUUUUCUUUUAAAUCAUGAUUAUCUAAACAAUACAGUACGACAGGUAUUUACAGAGCACUUGACCCAUACUAAACACUGCAGACCCUCUACAGAAGGGUUAGAUUGUAUGGGGGAUGUGCCUGGGUGCUAUAUAAAUACCCCACUAUUUUAUAGAAGAGACCUGAACACUCCUGGGUUUAUAAAGAGGAAGGACGGUUGGAACCAAUCCUCCUUAGUUUGGAACACACACACACACACACACACACACACACACACACACACACACACGGCUGGGAGGACAGCUCAGUUGGGAAAAGUGCUUGCCUUGGGAGCCUGAGGAUCUGAGUUCAAUCCCCUGUGUGUAUGUUGGGGGGCGGCGAAGCUGGGCAUGAUGACAUGUGUUUGUAAUCCAGCGGCUGGGGAGUCUGGAAUCCCUGGGCCUCACUGACUGGCCAGCCUAGUCUACUUAGCAAGCUCCAGACAGUGAAAAACCCUUUCUCAUAAAGCGAGAUAGGGACUGGGGAGGUGGCUCCGUUCUUCCAGAGGACCCAGGUUUGAUUCCUGGGAUCUACACAGCAGCUCACAAACAUCCAUAACUCCAGUUUUAGGGGUUCUGACAACCUCUUUUGCCCUCUAUGGGCACCAAGCAUGCAUGAGGUACACAGACAUACGUGCAGGCAAAGCACUCAUACAGGUUAAGUAAAUUCUUUUUUUUUUUUUAAGCAAUGUAGAUGGAGCCUGAGGAAUGACAAUAGAAGUUGUCCUCUUGUCUUCUCAUGCACACACACGUGAACACACACACACACACAUGUGAACACGUGCAUACACUCACAGUCUCCUCAAACCAUUUAUUUUACUUAAUAUUAUUUUUCCAUGUAAUAUUUCUACACCAAAACUCAAGCCAAAGCUGUUGUCUGAUUUCUCCAGUCCAGCUCCCUAGGAGGCCUGGCUGCCCUACCUGGUUUGUGCUAACGUUCACCCUCCUCAUGUGCAGACCCACUGGGCAGUAGCUAUGGCUGAGCUCCUGUCUACUUGCUGAGCCUUGGCCCAUUUCUAUGGCAUGUAAGAACCAUUCCUGUUGAACUCUGUUGUUGAGAAGUUCUGACCUCAGGUGAAUGGCCAGGGAUCCAGACAGAGGAAGGGAGUAGGAGGGAGGGAUGUGUUGGCCUCCACUAGCACUUAAGCCAAUGACCUGGGCUUGUCUGAUCGAGUUGCCCACAGUAGGCCAGUGGUUCUCAAAUGCACGUUUGGAGGGAUGUUCACACACACAGAAUGAUGUCUUCCCUCUGCCACGUUUCUUUGUCAGUUGCCUGGGUAGGGCCCGAGUCAUGGUGAACGUUUUUAAUUUCAACGAGGGCCUUGCUAUAUACCCCAGGUUGGCCUAGAACGUAUUACGUAGCCCAGGUUGGCCCUUGAACUUGAACAUCUUCUGCCUCUGUCUCUCAAGGGUGUGUGAUCUUGUGACUUGUUUCUGUCAAUAGAAUGUGAUGAGUCGCUCUGCUCUCUGUAGGUCCUGGAUUUCAGCCCCUUGUCUUUCUGUCUGAGGCCUUGCUGUAGUCAGUUUAACUUCCUGGAGUACAGAGCAGGUGGAGGGGGACCACAGGCCCAGCCACUGCCAGCACUGAUUAUCGGAUGCCUGAGUGACAACACCUGGAACAUUCCAGAACCAGUUGAUCAGCGAGUUCAGGUUUUGUCAACUGAGACACUACUGACCUUUGGGACCAGGUGAUUCUUUGUUGUGGGGGCUAUAAGUUAUGCAUCACCUGUGGCCUCUCUCCAGUGGAAACCAGCAGUACCCAUCAACGUCUUUAGGCAUCGCAAGCAAACCUGGUUGCUGAGCAGGUUUCACCCGUGGUUGAGAACCCAUGCCCGAGUGGAAUGCAGCCGAACAAUGAGCCCUGGUAACCACCAGAAGGAACCGUGCAGCCCCAAACUCUGGAAGUCACUGGGUUUUGGGGUGGUCCCUGUGGGGGAUAACUAAGAGCCUUUCAUCACUUUUCUCUGAUUUCUUUCCUUGGCAUCACGCAUUAAGAAUAUUAAAGGAUGGUUUAAAAAAGCCGAGUUUUGAAAUGUUCCAGAAUCCAAAACUGUUAGAGUACAGUCAGGCUGUCCAAACAUUAUUCUGUCCUGUUACAUGCAAGUCAUGUGAUUCUUGGUAAAUCAGAACCUGUCUGGUCCUCACUUUCUUCAUUUAUAAGAUGAAGAAAGUACUAUCUUUUAAAAAGAGAAAUUCUAUUUACAUUUAUUUAUUGUAUGUGUGUGAGUGUUUUUCCUGUAUGU